RNAcentral lists this ribosomal RNA (369 nucleotides) under uncultured beta proteobacterium. Its description in RNAcentral is "bacterial SSU rRNA". It matches the Rfam family "Bacterial small subunit ribosomal RNA", at positions 9 to 383 of the family's 1533-position model. The record is from RNAcentral. Lineage: Bacteria; Pseudomonadati; Pseudomonadota; Betaproteobacteria.
GAGUUUGAUCCUGGCUCAGAUUGAACGCUGGCGGAAUGCUUUACACAUGCAAGUCGAGCGGCAGCGCGGGGCAACCUGGCGGCGAGCGGCGAACGGGUGAGUAAUGCAUCGGAACAUGUCCAUGUCGUGGGGGAUAGCCCGGCGAAAGCCGGAUUAAUACCGCAUACGCCCGAGAGGGGGAAAGUGGGGGACCGCAAGGCCUCACGCGAUUGGUUGGCCGAUGUCCGAUUAGCUAGUUGGUGGGUAAAGCCACCAAGGCGAUGAUCGGUAGCUGGUCUGAGAGGAUGAUCAGCCACACUGGGACUGAGACACGGCCCAGGACUCCUACGGGAGGCAGCAGUGGGGAAUUUUGGACAAUGGGGGCAACCC